UCCGAGGUUGUUGGGAUUUGUUGCUCUUCCUCCUGCUGCACUACUACCUCCACUUGGGAAAUGAUGGCUACCUGCAAGGGACAUGGUCUUCUUAGUCAAGAACAUCUUGUUUCCGGCGUAAAGCUCAUAUUCUGCAGGGUGGCUGAAGCUGGGGACAGCGGUGGAGUCGUCAUGGUAGAAAGGAGUCUCCAUCUUGGUUGUCAUGGAUGAGCAAGUCUCGCGACGGUAAUCUUCAUAAUCAGAUUAACCUCAAUAUCAAAAGAGAUUGAAACAUUCCACUGAUGUCAGUGGCUGGAGGAUGAAGAACGAGGAGAAGAAGAGGAGAAGAAGAAAAUGACUCCUGGCAGGAAAACACACAGGAAAAAGCAAAGGGUGGAUGGGCUCUCCCUGAGAGAUAAGCUGAGAAGCACUGUCAUCCGGGAGAGACUCAGAGUAGAACCGCUGCUCCGCAUUGAGACGAGCCAGAUGAGGGGGCUUGGGCAUCUGGUCGGGAUGCCUCCCGGACGCCUCCCUGGGGAGGUGUUCUGGGCAUGCUAGUAGGAGGCCUCAGGGAAGACCCAGGACACGUUGGAAAGACUAUGUCUCUCAGCUGGACGGAGUAGCCGAAGAGAGAGAUGUCUGGGCUUUUGCCCCCACGACCCGACCUCAGGUAGAGCCGUGCCGGUCACUCCCAAAGAGAAGUCAUUUUGCAUCUUGGAAUAUGCUCGCACACAGUCACCCAAGACUGUGCAGCCGUGUCACGGGCGGUGGACGUAUCCAACACUUAUGAAAUCACUCCCAUAAUAAACUCAUAAUGUUCAAGACCUAAACUGUCAAUUUCAUUUAGCUAGACUUCGUAGUUUUCAAGAUAAUUGCUUUUAAAAUUUGUGUCCGAUUUUUUGGGACACGCUGUAUUAUUGGCCACAUGCUGACCAACAGAAACGGGCAGGCACAUGACCCAACUCUGUGUGCAGUGAGACGGCAGGCUUGCGCACUAACAAGAACAAGAAGCCACACACACGGUGGCCUCAUCUUAGCUUUCUUCCCUGUGUUUGAUCACUAAAUCUGCACAUUUUUACUUCAGACAAUU
This is a long non-coding RNA of Dunckerocampus dactyliophorus (ringed pipefish), 1069 nucleotides long. RefSeq lists it as uncharacterized. The transcript is spliced from 3 exons. The record is from RefSeq and is a predicted model, not a curated record. Lineage: Eukaryota; Metazoa; Chordata; Actinopteri; Syngnathiformes; Syngnathidae.